GAUCCGUGAUGAAGGCACGACCUUGUGUAUCCCUUCAAUCUCUUUCAAAGCUUCAUAUAGUGUCUCCUUAUGUCCUUGUUUGAAGCUUGUGAUUUCAUUUCUAAUUCA
Molecule: non-coding RNA, 108 nt
Organism: Arabis alpina (gray rockcress)
Lineage: Eukaryota; Viridiplantae; Streptophyta; Magnoliopsida; Brassicales; Brassicaceae
Source: Rfam